Non-coding RNA from Paramuricea clavata, 335 nucleotides. The record is from the annotation of a GenBank genome assembly. Lineage: Eukaryota; Metazoa; Cnidaria; Anthozoa; Malacalcyonacea; Plexauridae.
CACUGAAAUAAAUUAAUAAACAAUCCAUUUUUUAUGAAGACUUCGAGCAAUUCGGUUACUGUAAUAAGUAUUCGCACCUCAUAUAUUUUUUGUCAGCUUUUUAUUGAUAGCUGGUGUGACAAAUUUUGUCGCCGAUUUCUUUUGUGAUUCAUUUUCCGACUUUGCUGUUUUUUCAAUACGAGACGCUCAUUUAUAUUACACAAGAGAAAUCUUCAUCACCAUAAUAAGGGGGUCGAACAUACUCAAGUUAAAGUUUAAUAUGACUUUCAAAGUCACAUAAAGCUUAUAUACGAAGAAACAUAUUUCUGUCUCACAUAUAUUGAUGGACUGACUGG